Molecule: long non-coding RNA, 593 nt
Filed under: Papio anubis (olive baboon)
Lineage: Eukaryota; Metazoa; Chordata; Mammalia; Primates; Cercopithecidae
Description: lncRNA (ENSPANG00000043708.1)
Source: RNAcentral
UGCUUGUUGCCAGGUUUUGUGUCCAGGGUGGUCACACAUGUCUACUGAACUGAGGCCGUGCUGAUGGCAAUACCCUUGCUCUUCCAAGGUGCAGAUCUUCUUGAAGCUCAGGGCAUCAUGACAAAUUGGCAUACACAAAGCGGGCAUGGUUGCUACGAUUUGCUCAGGGUCGUUGUCAAGUCACCUUGCAAGAUAACAGCCUGCUGAGUCACCGCUAGCACCUAGACUUACUUUCAGCAAGGAGUCCAACACUACUAGCGGAAAUCCUGUGCCUCUAACAAGCUCAGCCUCUCUGUGGGGCGUUCUUCGGGAUCCAUCCGCAGGAGCGCCUGUCCUUUGGGAGGAAGAAGAGCCCACUGGGGUCAUUUGCCUUGGUCUGCUCUCUUCGCUAGAUCCACCUAAAGAUUGUUGCAGCCCUCAGUGUCCACGGAGAAGCCCAGGCUGGAGCACCGGAGACGGCCAUGUGCAGAGAUGCCAGGCACUGUCUGAUUGUGAUUGCAGGAAACUGGAGCCCACACAGAACUGGUUGUCGCAGUAGGAGCUGGAAUAAGAGACAGGUGAGGCUGGGAGGAUUUCAACAGGUACCCAAGAAA